UACAGAGACUGCAAGCGUUAUUCGGAUUCACUGGGCGUAAAGGGUGCGCAGGCGGCCGAGUGUGUGAGGCGUGAAAGCCCGGGGCUUAACCCCGGAAUUGCACCUCAAACUACACGGCUAGAGCAUUGGAGAGGGUAGCAGAAUUCAUGGUGUAGCAGUGAAAUGCGUAGAUAUCAUGAGGAAUACCAGAGGCGAAGGCGGCUGCCUGGACAAGUGCUGACGCUCAGGCACGAAAGCGUGGGGAGCAAAAGGG
Molecule: ribosomal RNA, 253 nt
Filed under: uncultured bacterium
Lineage: Bacteria
Description: partial 16S ribosomal RNA
Rfam family: Bacterial small subunit ribosomal RNA
Source: RNAcentral